This is a long non-coding RNA of Bombina bombina (fire-bellied toad), 1935 nucleotides long. RefSeq lists it as uncharacterized. The transcript has 3 exons. Lineage: Eukaryota; Metazoa; Chordata; Amphibia; Anura; Bombinatoridae. The record is from RefSeq and is a predicted model, not a curated record.
AGACACCUACCUAAUUAUUUCUUUAGCAAAAGAAUAUCAUGCAAACUAAAGCAAAUUUGAUAAUAGAAGUCAGUUGGAAACUUUUUUUUUUUAAAUUGUAUGCUCUGUCUGAAUCCCAAAAUAUUUUUUUGGGGUUUCAUAUCCCUUUUAGCUCUCCCUGUAUUCUGUGAUGCAACCAGCUUGUUUCCUGAUAGCACUUACCUGUGUCCUGCUGCAAUUACCUGGUAUCCCGUGCCAGCCUCACCAGCUGUACCUGCUGAAUCUCCUGUACCUGCUGAGUCUCCUGUGCCUGCUGAGUCUCCUGUACUUGCUUUACUAGUGGCAGCUUACCUGAACCCUGCUGUAUCACCUGCAUCUACCUGAUAUCCAGUACCAGUCUCACCACCUGUGCCUGCUGAGUCUCCUGUACUUGCUUUACUAGUGGCAGCUUACCUGAACCCUGCUGUAUCACCUGCAUCUACCUGAUAUCCAGUACCAGUCUCACCACCUGUGCCUGCUGAGUCUCCUAUACUUGCUUUACUAGUGGCAGCUUACCGGUAUCCAGUACCAGUCUCACCACCUGUAUGUGCUGAGUUUCCUGUGCCUGCUGAGUCUCCAGUAUUUGCUGUACCAGUGGCAGAUUACCUGAAUUCUGCUGCACCUACCUAUUAUGCAGUGCCAGCCUCACCACCUGUACCUGCUGGGGUUCCUUCUGAAUCUCCUGUACAUUGUUGUUGCACUGUUGUCCCAGUACCUGACCUUUAGCCUGCCCUUGGACUUUUCUCCUGCUUUAACCCUUUGGUACCUUGUUGCUGGAGUGACCUCAGAGUACCCAACUUUUGGCCUGUUCUUGCUUUAUCUCUUGGUAUAUUGUUGCUGGACUGAUCUCCUGGUACAAACAAAUACAAGGGGAAUUGAGGGCCCUAUUUCUGUGGGAACUUACAAUCUAGAAAAUGACUUUUUGUUUCCUUUGUAUUCAUUCCUGUACUCGAGUUCCACUCACUGAGUCAGGUACUGGGAAAUUAGACCAGUGUUUCUUGACUCUGGUCGCCAAGUACCCUUAACAGACCAGAUUUUCAUGAUUUCUUAAAGGGAUUGUCCAGCAUAAAAUUUUUAUUAAUUAUUUUAAUACAACUCAUAAAUUUAUAUUAGAUAAGAUAAUCAUUAUAUUAAUUAGUGAAAAAUAAAUUAAUCAUUUAACCUGCUGUAAAUUUAAUUUCAAAUUAUUCAAAAUAUUUCUCAUAUCGCCCCUCAGGAAAAACGAGUUUAUAUUCUUUUUCAUGCUGCUUUUUUUUGUCCAAUCAGCUGUAAUAUGCUAAUUAGAUUGCAUUAGCCCGUGUGCGCGCAUGUUGUUCAUGAUUAUUAGCUUUUUUUUUUAUUUCAUUUCAGUUGCGCAUUGCAGGAACUUCAGGAAGUGGCAGUCCUGCUCUACACAACCUUCAAAUUUUCAAGUUUUAGAUCUGCUAAGUGAUAAAGAUGAAUGAUACAAUGGAAGAUUUGAAUAUGUGUGUGGAUGAAGAUUCGGAAUCAUUACACAUACUGAGAUCUCAACUUGAUGAAAAAAGACAUGGCCGUCCUUUACCUUUUGAUCCAAAACAAACACAUAUAUGGGAUCCAUUAAUCAAAAAAGAAAAUAGAAACAACUCACUGAAGUCUAAUAAAGAAGAUCACAUUGAAGAUCUUGCAAGAUUAACAAACACUGAUUGGUGUUCAUGUUUCAACUGCAUAAAAAUGAAUACUGUUCCUGAAAGUAUUUGUUGUAGAGAGUUAGAAAAAACUAACAAUUUGAUUGAAAAUAAUAUGGUCUGUAUUUGUGAAGUUGAUUACAUCCAGAAUCGUAUCCUUGAUAGAGCUUAUAUACAGGAUCUUUAUCGUUUUGCUUCUGCAUAUCGUAGAGCUAGAUUGCCCAGUCUUCAAAAUUUGCAGGAAAGGUAAUAUUGUUAUAAUAAUAAUUCU